RNAcentral lists this ribosomal RNA (253 nucleotides) under uncultured bacterium. RNAcentral describes it as "partial 16S ribosomal RNA". It matches the Rfam family "Bacterial small subunit ribosomal RNA", at positions 524 to 776 of the family's 1533-position model. The record is from RNAcentral.
UACAGAGGUCUCAAGCGUUGUUCGGAUUCAUUGGGCGUAAAGGGUGCGUAGGUGGCGGGGUAAGUCAGGUGUGAAAUCUCGAGGCUCAACCUCGAAACUGCACUUGAUACUGCCUUGCUCGAGUACUGGAGAGGAGAUUGGAAUUUACGGUGUAGCAGUGAAAUGCGUAGAUAUCGUAAGGAAGACCAGUGGCGAAGGCGAAUCUCUGGACAGUUACUGACGCUGAGGCACGAAGGCCAGGGGAGCAAACGGG